Podarcis lilfordi (Lilford's wall lizard) is the source of this 87-nucleotide non-coding RNA. The record is from the annotation of a GenBank genome assembly. NCBI's taxonomy places the organism in Eukaryota, Metazoa, Chordata, Lepidosauria, Squamata, Lacertidae.
GACUAGAUAGCUCAGAAAGUAGAGCAUGAGACUCUUAAUCUCAGGAUUGUGGGUUCAAGUAGGGUUGCCAUACCUCUGGAAUUUCCU